Molecule: long non-coding RNA, 392 nt
Organism: Gymnodraco acuticeps
Lineage: Eukaryota; Metazoa; Chordata; Actinopteri; Perciformes; Bathydraconidae
Exons: 2
Source: RefSeq, a predicted model, not a curated record
CUUUCCUCAGUUAGCUUCAGGCCCCACUGAGGAGAAGUGUGAAGUUAGAAAGCUGAUGAAGCCAUUUCCUGCUUUAAUUAUUAUAUUCUGUUUUGCACAGGUAUGUGGGUAUUCUUUUUGUAUUUUGUAACUGUAAAUUGUAUUGUUUGUUAUGUAAGUGUAAAUUAAUGGUUAUAUUUGUGUAUAUUGGUUUACAAGGAAAAACUGGUUUGCCACCAUGGAUAGAUGUAUAUCUGUUAAUUGUAUUAUUUAGAACUCUGUAUACUUUCCUGAGUUAGCUUCAGGCCCCACUGAGGAGAAGUGUGAAGUUAGAAAGCUGAUGAAGCCAUUUCCUGCUUUAAUUAUUAUAUUCUGUUUUGCACAGAGAAUAAAUCCUGGUUGGCAAGAAAGAA